This 71-nucleotide transfer RNA is filed under the name Marmota monax (woodchuck). RNAcentral's name for it is "tRNA.Ala". It matches the Rfam family "tRNA". Rfam says of the family: Transfer RNA (tRNA) molecules are approximately 80 nucleotides in length. Lineage: Eukaryota; Metazoa; Chordata; Mammalia; Rodentia; Sciuridae. The record is from RNAcentral.
GGGGUUGUGGCUCAAUGGCAGAGCACUCACCUAGCAUGUGCAAGGCCCUGGGUUCGAUCCUCAGCACCACA